AGGAGCUUGCUCUUUCCGGAUGAGUUGCGAACGGGUGAGUAACGCGUAGGUAACCUGCCUGGUAGCGGGGGAUAACUAUUGGAAACGAUAGCUAAUACCGCAUAACAGUAGAUAUUGCAUGAUAUCUGCUUGAAAGGGGCAAUUGCUCCACUACCAGAUGGACCUGCGUUGUAUUAGCUAGUUGGUGAGGUAACGGCUCACCAAGGCGACGAUACAUAGCCGACCUGAGAGGGUGAUCGGCCACACUGGGACUGAGACACGGCCCAGACUCCUACGGGAGGCAGCAGUAGGGAAUCUUCGGCAAUGGACGGAAGUCUGACCGAGCAACGCCGCGUGAGUGAAGAAGGUUUUCGGAUCGUAAAGCUCUGUUGUAAGAGAAGAACGAGUGUGAGAGUGGAAAGUUCACACUGUGACGGUAUCUUACCAGAAAGGGACGGCUAACUACGUGCCAGCAGCCGCGGUAAUACGUAGGUCCCGAGCGUUAUCCGGAUUUAUUGGGCGUAAAGCGAGCGCAGGCGGUUAGAUAAGUCUGAAGUUAAAGGCUGUGGCUUAACCAUAGUACGCUUUGGAAACUGUUUAACUUGAGUGCAAGAGGGGAGAGUGGAAUUCCAUGUGUAGCGGUGAAAUGCGUAGAUAUAUGGAGGAACACCGGUGGCGAAAGCGGCUCUCUGGCUUGUAACUGA
RNAcentral lists this ribosomal RNA (683 nucleotides) under uncultured bacterium. Its description in RNAcentral is "bacterial SSU rRNA". It matches the Rfam family "Bacterial small subunit ribosomal RNA", at positions 74 to 743 of the family's 1533-position model. The record is from RNAcentral.